UGUUGAUAAAAAAGAACAUCAAGAUCAUAUAUGUAAUACUUUUGGGGUCAAAAGGCAAGUUUAUAUGAUUGAUUUUUGUAUGCAUUAUCCAAAUUCAUGGUUUUUCCACUGGCAGGGAUGAAGGCAUGCCUUGUGGCAUUGAGGGUGGAUGGAUGUGAAUGUGAAUGAGCUGAGAGAUCAUGUUGACAGAAGAGAGAGAGCACAACCCGCCAUUGGCCAAAGAGAUCUUUGCCACUGUUGGGAGUGUGCUUUCUCUUCUUCUGUCAUCAUCUCUUGCAUUCCCACAUCUCUGAUGUUACCAGCACCGUCUGAUCUGCAUCUAUAUAUCUAACACAUAUGUAAACAGAAGAAAGAGGUAGCAGUUGUCACCAAUUGAAGCAAGGAUGUGUCAAUUUUGUACAAAUUAAUACUUUUCAAGAUGCAUGAGCAGAAGUUGGUGAUCUCUUAUUAACUUUCUGUCAAGUAGAAAAUUGCACCUUACAAGAACAUAUCAUUUUACCGCAGAAUAAGAGAGAGAGAAAGAGAGAGAGAGAGAGAGAGAGAGAGAGAGAGAGAGAGCCUUGGUCCUGUUUCUCCUUGCAGAUAACCAACCGCAAGGAAGCUAAGGGGUGUUCUAGGUGACUGGUGUUGUCUUUGUCUCGGCAGUGGCAAUAGUAGUGAUGCUGGAUUGUGUCUCUCCUCGGGAGAGUUGUGAUACCUGGUGGCUGAUGUUUUGUCUCUAUUUCAACGACGGCAGCAGCAACGACGCUGGUGAUAGUUGUUAUGAUAUGGUGCUUUUCUCUACUUUGCACCGAUGGAAGAACUAUGCUUGGUCAUAGGAGGUUUUCUUUGUCAAGUUCUAAGUUGAAGUGGAGUGCUUCUCGAGGGUCCUUUAAUGUUGUUUUAGUGUUCCUCCUCCGUGUUCUCUCCUGGUUUCUGUUAUUGUAUGCCUUGCAGUUUGUGUGGGUGUCAAAAGACUACGAUUUUGCUCAUAGAAGGUUUUUUUUGACAGUUGGAAUGUUCUGUGGUUCUCUCCUGUGGGUUUAGUAUUGGGAUUUCUAUGGUCCUCUCAUGUGGGUCUACUGUGUUAGUCUCUAGUUGCGGUUUUGUGUUAGUUUUCUUUUUUGAUUUGUUCUUUUAUUGUAAUGGUUCAGAGUGACUUGAAUUGAACUCUCUUGUUAGUCAAUGACAUGUGUGAUGCUCUUUCCUCUCUUGAGGUUUGUCCCAUGAAGUUGUCCUAGGAAGGUUUUAACGAGGUCAUUGUAUCAUGUCGCUCUU
Molecule: non-coding RNA, 1257 nt
Organism: Prunus mume (Japanese apricot)
Lineage: Eukaryota; Viridiplantae; Streptophyta; Magnoliopsida; Rosales; Rosaceae
Source: RefSeq, a predicted model, not a curated record